UGGCAGUGUGGUUAGCUGGUUGUGAGCUUCUACAAACAACCACUACCUGCAUUGCUUCA
This 59-nucleotide microRNA precursor is filed under the name Limulus polyphemus (Atlantic horseshoe crab). Its description in RNAcentral is "Lpo-Mir-34-P14_pre stem-loop". Lineage: Eukaryota; Metazoa; Arthropoda; Merostomata; Xiphosura; Limulidae. The record is from RNAcentral.